Molecule: ribosomal RNA, 474 nt
Filed under: uncultured bacterium
Lineage: Bacteria
Description: bacterial SSU rRNA
Rfam family: Bacterial small subunit ribosomal RNA
Source: RNAcentral
CUCUGUGACUCCUACGGGGAGGCAGCAGUGGGGAAUAUUGCACAAUGGGGGAAACCCUGAUGCAGCCAUGCCGCGUGUGUGAAGAAGGCCUUCGGGUUGUAAAGCACUUUCAGUAGGGAGGAAGGUAGUGUAGUUAACACCUGCACUAUUUGACGUUACCUACAGAAGAAGCACCGGCUAACUCCGUGCCAGCAGCCGCGGUAAUACGGAGGGUGCGAGCGUUAAUCGGAAUUACUGGGCGUAAAGCGCAUGCAGGCGGCCUGUUAAGUCAGAUGUGAAAGCCCGGGGCUUAACCUCGGAAUUGCAUUUGAAACUGGCAGGCUAGAGUCUUGUAGAGGGGGGUAGGAAUUUCAGGUGUAGCGGUGAAAUGCGUAGAGAUCUGAAGGAAUACCAGUGGCGAAGGCGGCCCCCUGGACAAAGACUGACGCUCAGAUGCGAAAGCGUGGGGAGCAAACAGGAUUAGAUACCCUGUAG